UUCAUCUAUGACCUAGAUGAGGGCACAGAGUAUACCCUUGGCAAGUUUGCUGAUGAUACAUAACUGUUUUCCUUGGCUUGUUUUUUUUUUAGGGAUGAGUCUUGUGUUUGCUGUGCCAUACUCUGCAUUCUCCUUCUUUUCUUUAUAUCCAUGACAAUUCAUCUGGGACUGUUCCUGUUCCCUUUAGGAACUCCUGCGGCUGAGCUGUGGGUAAACUGCAUUGAUUGCAACUUCUGUAAUCCGACUUGGUCCACCCCUGUCAUCUUGAUAAGUCAAACUCCUUUUGCCACUUCUUUUGUUGAUGUUACGAGCCUGGUUUUUUAAAGUUGUGGGGGAAAAAAAAGGUACUAUUUUUCAGCCUGUGAAUGACAGAUUUUUCACAGGGAUUUGCCUUUAACUUCUUUCAUGCUCUCCUGAAAUUAAUUUUUCUCAGUCUGAUGUUUCUAAAUUGCCUCUCUUCUAGUUCUUACAUUGUGCUUCUCUUUUGCUGAUGUGCUGAAGUGCACAAUUUGAACUUUUUUGUUUUGGUUUUGUUUUUCAAAACUUCAAGGAAAAGAAUAAUCUCCUCUAGUUGUCGAAGUUUACAUCAGGAGGAAGCAAACUGUACCCUAGGUCUGCUCCAUUCAUUAUAACCUUGGCAUUUUGAAUAUUAAAACCAAGAUAAGUAAAUUGACCAUAGUAUUUUUGACAUAACAUUAACGUAAGAGUGAAGAAGGUUAUUCCUCAGGUUUGUUCUACAGAUUUAUGUUUCAGGAAUUUGCAAUGGGUUCAUGUUGAUUUUACCCGAAAGUCUCCACAGAAAUCUUUUUUAAGAAUUUAAACUUACAUAUUCCUGACACACUGCAUCCCUUCCAAGUUUGUUUGGUGAUGCAGGAAAUUUUUCAAAUUUCUCUAGUGUAAGUUUCUUCACUUCACAGUAUUUUUUUUCUUCCCUUUCUGUUCUGUUCAUGAACAGAAGAAGAUUGAAUUAGUCUUAUCAGCUGAAACAAUAUGAUCUUUAUGAUUUCUGAAAUUUAAGCCAAGGGAGUAGAAAUGUAAUGGUGUCUACUUGUCAAGAUAGAUGGAAAUGUGAAAUUCAAACAAGGGAUCAUUGAGGAAUGCUAUUUUUAUUACAAGAUAUUUAUUUAACUAUACAAUAUUUUCUUCCUUCUGAGGUACCAUUAGAUAUAUAAUAUAAAGUAAGAAAAAAAAUGUUUAUUAUAUCAAUCUUCUUUUAUAAUAAAUUUAUCAAGUAGAAAGUGCA
RNAcentral lists this long non-coding RNA (1243 nucleotides) under Calidris pugnax (ruff). Its description in RNAcentral is "lncRNA (ENSCPUG00000009628.1)". Lineage: Eukaryota; Metazoa; Chordata; Aves; Charadriiformes; Scolopacidae. The record is from RNAcentral.